GGGAGUACUUUAAACAAUUCUGUUGGAAUUUUCUGUAGUUUCUGCCGGGGGAAAGGUGUAGAGGUCCAAUCUUGAUUAGGUAUGAAGGAAGAGGAGAGAAGAUAAGAGGAAUUUUGUGUUCACCCUUGUUUGUUACGACAGAAGGCAACAAAAGUGAAAACAAGUCAAUAUACAACGUGGCAGAUACCUCAAAAAGUACUGUAUCCAAAUUGCAAACCAGCAACU
RNAcentral lists this unclassified non-coding RNA (225 nucleotides) under Hevea brasiliensis (rubber tree). Lineage: Eukaryota; Viridiplantae; Streptophyta; Magnoliopsida; Malpighiales; Euphorbiaceae. The record is from RNAcentral.